This is a long non-coding RNA of Telopea speciosissima, 152 nucleotides long. RefSeq lists it as uncharacterized. The transcript is spliced from 3 exons. NCBI's taxonomy places the organism in Eukaryota, Viridiplantae, Streptophyta, Magnoliopsida, Proteales, Proteaceae. The record is from RefSeq and is a predicted model, not a curated record.
UAUGUUGUAGUAACAAUAGUAGUAGUAGUAGUAGCAGCAAUACCUGUUUCUUCAGAUACCAUGGAUACCAUGGAAUUUUGGUUCUCAACUUAAGCUCAGCAAGGGAGAACCUGGUGGCAGUAACCGGCACCACAGAAUCGACGUCGCCACUG